Molecule: long non-coding RNA, 684 nt
Organism: Mercenaria mercenaria
Lineage: Eukaryota; Metazoa; Mollusca; Bivalvia; Venerida; Veneridae
Exons: 2
Source: RefSeq, a predicted model, not a curated record
CGAUAUUUAUUUAGAGGUUUACCCUUUUUAAAAGUUAUCAAUCUUUAAAUCAAUUCAGUUUAUCAGACAAUGCUGAUUUACUUAAGUUAUAUAUUUACACACUUGUUUAUGAAACAAAUUGCCCUAGUGCCCGGGAUUUCGAGAAAUAACGUUAGCAUUUAGAUAUAUUUGAUGAAAAUGAAAUGCAAUCCAGAACGGAUCUAACACAGCUUGCGAAAGGAAGUUUUAUAUAAAUGUGUUUUUCUGAAAACGAAACAAAAAAGCGAACUAAAGAUAAAUAAAAAGAAUGGGACGAAAAUGUUCUAUAUUUCUGUGGAGUGCUGUCGAUUUACUUCUUUUGGUACUAUUUUCGUAUCAUUGCCUUGGUCAAGAAAGAAAACAUCAUGUUCUUCAUUUGAUAAGCGACGAAACAGAUGACGCUCUUGCAAGCGUUUUCGGAACUGCUGGAAUAAUAUUCAACAUGACAAUUAAGAAAAACAUUUUAGCUAUAUUUAAAGCAAUGUGUUGCUCUGCAGAAGCGAGCAGAUGGCACAAAAUUCUUUCCAUUAUUUCUUUGUGUGUGCGUUGGACUUGCAAUAGCGUUGCUAGCAAAUAUUAAAUAGAACAUACGUAAUGAGUCUUCAAAGUCUUGUGAUAGUAACGUUGUAAAAUUGUAGUUCAAUUGAAUAAAUGUCUUUCACCAUU